GACGAACGCUGGCGGCGUGCCUAAUACAUGCAAGUCGUGCGGACCUUGUUGAAAGCUUGCUUUUCAAAGGUUAGCGGCGGACGGGUGAGUAACACGUGGGCAACCUGCCUGUAAGGCUGGGAUAACGCCGGGAAACCGGGGCUAAUACCAGAUCGUUUUUUCCUCCGCAUGGAGGAAAAAGGAAAGGCGGCUUCGGCUGCCACUUACAGAUGGGCCCGCGGCGCAUUAGCUAGUUGGCGGGGUAAUGGCCCACCAAGGCAACGAUGCGUAGCCGACCUGAGAGGGUGAUCGGCCACAUUGGGACUGAGACACGGCCCAAACUCCUACGGGAGGCAGCAGUAGGGAAUCUUCCGCAAUGGACGAAAGUCUGACGGAGCAACGCCGCGUGAGUGAAGAAGGCCGUCGGGUCGGAAAACUCUGUUGCCGGGGAAGAACAAGUGCCGUUCGAACAGGGCGGCGCCUUGACGGUACCCGGCCAGAAAGCCACGGCUAACUACGUG
RNAcentral lists this ribosomal RNA (500 nucleotides) under uncultured bacterium. RNAcentral's name for it is "partial 16S ribosomal RNA". It matches the Rfam family "Bacterial small subunit ribosomal RNA", at positions 28 to 507 of the family's 1533-position model. The record is from RNAcentral.